GACGAACGCUGGCGGCGUGCUUAACACAUGCAAGUCGAACGGAAAGGCCCUGCUUUUGUGGGGUGCUCGAGUGGCGAACGGGUGAGUAACACGUGAGUAACCUGCCCUUGACUUUGGGAUAACUUCAGGAAACUGGGGCUAAUACCGGAUAGGAGCUCCUGCUGCAUGGUGGGGGUUGGAAAGUUUCGGCGGUUGGGGUUGGACUCGCGGCUUAUCAGUUUGUUGGUGGGGUAGUGGCUUACCAAGGCUUUGACGGGUAGCCGGCUGGAGGGGGUGACCGGCACCAUGGGGACUGGGAACCGGCCCAGGCCCCUACGGGGGGCAGGGGGGGGGAAUUUUGCCAAAGGGGCGGAGGCCGGGUGCAGCAACGCCGGGUGGGGGAGGACGGCCUUGGGGUUGUAAACCGCUUUCGCCGGGAACGAAGCGGGGGGGAGGGAAAUGGGGAAAAAAGCACCGGCAAACUCGGU
This 467-nucleotide ribosomal RNA is filed under the name uncultured bacterium. RNAcentral describes it as "partial 16S ribosomal RNA". It matches the Rfam family "Bacterial small subunit ribosomal RNA", at positions 28 to 506 of the family's 1533-position model. The record is from RNAcentral.